AAUUCAGUAGCUUAAAUAAAGCGUGGCUUUGAAGAAGCCAAAAUAAAGUUUCGAUUUUUUGAAUUA
Molecule: transfer RNA, 66 nt
Filed under: Vertigo pusilla
Lineage: Eukaryota; Metazoa; Mollusca; Gastropoda; Stylommatophora; Vertiginidae
Description: tRNA-Phe
Rfam family: tRNA
About the family: Transfer RNA (tRNA) molecules are approximately 80 nucleotides in length. Their secondary structure includes four short double-helical elements and three loops (D, anti-codon, and T loops).
Source: RNAcentral